Molecule: long non-coding RNA, 467 nt
Organism: Poecilia latipinna (sailfin molly)
Lineage: Eukaryota; Metazoa; Chordata; Actinopteri; Cyprinodontiformes; Poeciliidae
Exons: 3
Source: RefSeq, a predicted model, not a curated record
UAAUGUUAGACAACAGAGAGACCGGAUGUUGCUAAAUUUAUUCAACUUUAACGCUUGUCAGAAAAAAAAAUCGACACGAAAAGCUGCAUUUCGCAGAACAUUCGAGAGGUUCCCGGACAUCGAGGACGUCCCAGAAAGCUCUCCUCUGUCUCUGAACCUGGCACCGACACCAUUUGGACGCCUCAGGGUUUUAAGCUUUGAGAAAACGUUUUAGACACCCUGCUGCCGCAAUCGAUACACCACCAGCUAUCGACCACCGUUCACUGCGGCAUUUGGACGAUCAGCGUUGUGUUUAUGUCUUUGUUUUGCAGAAACGAGCUGUUGCGCAGCCGUUGGAACCUGUGUGGUGGAAACCUAGCCUUCAAGCAAGGAGCUUGCGGCCACAGCGGCACGACGUUUUUCAUGUCAGAGACCGAGCACGCUUGCAGUCGUUUAUGUCAUCCCCUCUUUUCCAGACAGAAGAUCCC